This is a non-coding RNA of Pogona vitticeps (central bearded dragon), 222 nucleotides long. Lineage: Eukaryota; Metazoa; Chordata; Lepidosauria; Squamata; Agamidae. The record is from RefSeq and is a predicted model, not a curated record.
GCCCGCCCCGCACGCCGGGGGCCAGCUCGCCCGUGGCGUAGCCGUGCCAGGCCACGAGGCAGGGUGAUCGAUACAGAGACUGACACUCUGCAGCCACGGGUGCUUUGCUUGGAAUUGAGAUUUAUAGAAGUUGAUUCAUCUCCAGGACAAAUCAAGAUCAAGGUACAAUUGACUGUUUUUGGCAAUUAAGCAGUUUGAGAACUCUGAUACAAGACUGAGCCA